RNAcentral lists this ribosomal RNA (844 nucleotides) under uncultured archaeon. Its description in RNAcentral is "SSU rRNA". It matches the Rfam family "Archaeal small subunit ribosomal RNA", at positions 474 to 1337 of the family's 1478-position model. The record is from RNAcentral.
UACUAGCGGUCCAAGUCGCAGCCAUCUUUAUUAGGUCUAAAACAUCCGUAGCUUGCUUGAUAAGUUUCCUGUGAAAUUUUAUCUCUUAAGGGUAAAGCGAGCAGGAAGUACUGUUAAGCUAGAGACUGGAAGACGGAAGAAGUACGAUCAAAGUAGUGGUAAAAUACGUUAAUCUUGGUCGGACUAACAACAGCGAAGGCAUCUUCCGAGGACAGUUCUGACAGUGAGGGAUGAAGGCUAGGGGCGCAAAACAGAUUAGAUACCUGUGUAGUCCUAGCAGUAAACACUGCACACUAAACAUCAGUACCUCCUCGAGAGGUAUUGGUGCUGAAGGGAAGCCGAAGAGUGUGCUACCUGGGAAGUAUAGUCGCAAGGCCGAAACUUAAAGGAAUUGGCGGGGAGGCACUACAACGGGUGACGCGUGCGGUUCAAUUAGAUUCCACACCGUGAACCUCACCAGGAUCGACAGCAGGAUGAAGGUCAGUCUAAAGGGCUUACCUGACACGCUGAGAGGAGUUGCAUGGCCGACGUCAGCCUGUGCUGUGAAGUGACCUGUUAAAUCAGGUAACAGGCAAGACCCAUGUGCAUAUUUACUAAUGAACUAUAUGCAGAUUGCCUUGGUAACAAGGAUGAAAGUGUGGGCUACGUUAGGUGAGUACAGCCCGACAACCCUGGGCAACACGCGCGCGUCAAUGGUGGAUACAACGGGGUGCAACUCUGAAAAGAGAAGCUAAUCUCUUAAAGUCCAUCUCAGUCCAGAUUGAGGUUUGUAACUCAGCCUCAUGACGCUGGAAUCCGUAGUAAUCGUUUGUUAUCAGCGAACGGUGAAUACGUCACUGUCUCU